This 1082-nucleotide long non-coding RNA is filed under the name Vigna radiata. Its description in RNAcentral is "long non-coding RNA (VRAD_LNC000768)". The record is from RNAcentral. Lineage: Eukaryota; Viridiplantae; Streptophyta; Magnoliopsida; Fabales; Fabaceae.
AAAACUCUGUAAGCUACCACAUUGACAUUAGAAAACCCCACUUUUACAAACCUCAAGCCAUUUUCCAUACUUUCAUUCUCUCUCUAGAAAAAUCCAACUCCCAUCCUCUGCAUUCUCUCUAACCUCAAGCUUCAUUGCUCCAGAAAAUCUUCAAUUGGAUGGCACCUCAGUGAUUGCGACUCAAAGAGCUCCAUUUUCAACCGAUUAGUUUUCCCUUUCUCCGCCGGUAAGUCCUCUUCCAUGUCCCACGUAAUUUUAGGGCUGUAAUCAUGUAACAAAACCCUGUUGCAUGUAGUUGAUUGUGCCUUCCUCCAAAUUCUGACUUAAAUUAGGUUCUAAAAGUUAUUUCUUGUUUCCAAUUUAAGGUCUGUAGGUUUUUCUAGAAAUUCCGUGAAGUGCAAGCUUGAACCGGAUUUAGUUGGCCUAUAUGGUGAAAUUCCCAGGUAAGGGAAGCUAGGUUAUGAUUAUGUGUUGUGUGAUGUAUAUGCAUGAAUUGUGGCAUGUGGAUGUUGUAAAAUAAUGCAUGUGUAAGUUGUAUAUUGUGGAGUAUUGUGUUUGAGCUUAAAUUAGGUGAUUUUGUGUAUGAGAGUAUGAAAUCCUUGUUUUCUAAAAUGUAUAAAGUUGUGAAUGGAUGCAUAUGAAGUGAAUUGUAUAAGGUAGGGUACUGGAUUGAGUAUUAGAAGAGAUGAAAAUUGUUAUACAUGUUAAUAGAGUUCAAGUUAGGUGGAUUAUGUUGUUUUUAGGUCGUCUUAAAGGAAGUGAGAGGGUGAUUUCGAGAAUUAUGGGUUAAAGGUCGAAUUAGGCUCUUAGAAUGGUUUACUUAAGUCAAAAGUGACUUGUUAGGAGUGUUAGAGUGAUCAAAUAUACUCUCCAAAUGGUAAAUUUACUUUUGAGUCCAUAGGUUGAUGAAAAUGAGGUUUUGAAUUAGAAAUCCUUGCAUAAUCAUUGGAGAAUGAUGUUAGGAAGACUUAAAGUUACUUAGACAAGUUUAAUUUCAUCUAUACUUCGAAUUAGAACUGUUAGAAGUUCACCAAAAGGCCUAAAACGAAACUUAGGGGUGUGAGUUCUUCCAAAUCUGCAGA